UACGUAGGGUGCAAGCGUUGUCCGGAAUUAUUGGGCGUAAAGAGCUCGUAGGCGGUUUGUUGCGUCGGCUGUGAAAUCCCGAGGCUCAACCUCGGGUCUGCAGUCGAUACGAGCAAACUAGAGUGUUGCAGGGGAGACUGGAAUUCCUGGUGUAGCGAUGAAAUGCGCAGAUAUCAGGAGGAACACCGGUGGCGAAGGCGGGUCUCUGGGCAACAACUGACGCUGAGGAGCGAAAGCUAGGGGAGCAAACGGG
This 253-nucleotide ribosomal RNA is filed under the name uncultured bacterium. Its description in RNAcentral is "partial 16S ribosomal RNA". It matches the Rfam family "Bacterial small subunit ribosomal RNA", at positions 524 to 776 of the family's 1533-position model. The record is from RNAcentral.